RNAcentral lists this long non-coding RNA (684 nucleotides) under Rattus norvegicus (Norway rat). RNAcentral describes it as "long non-coding RNA NONRATT031161". Lineage: Eukaryota; Metazoa; Chordata; Mammalia; Rodentia; Muridae. The record is from RNAcentral.
GACAGCAACCGCCACUGCUCUUAAGACAGGUGGACCAUCCUGUGGCUGCAGUGUUCAACCAUUUGGACAGGUCUUAUGCAAGCUACAUGAUUGCUGUGGGUUCAUAUGUGCAAGAUCAAGCCAGACAAAAUCCCAGCAUGGAAAGGAAGCAAAGUCUCAUGAUGUGGCCUAGACUUUCCUACAACUUGUGAUCCUCCUGCUCCACCUUCUGAGGGCUGGGAUGAUGGGAGGAAGCCAGGCCUUCCUGAAUGCUAAGCAAGUACGGCAGCAACCAAGCCAUAUUCCAGCCCAUUCUGCCUUCCGUUGCUUUUUAUUGGUGUGUGUGUGGGGGGGGGGGUGCAUGCACGCCUGAAUGAAGCAUGCAUAGUUUUUUUUUUCUUUUUUCUUUUUUUUUUCGGAGCUGGGGACCGAACCCAGGGCCUUGCGGUCGCUAGGCAAGCGCUCUACCGCUGAGCUAAAUCCCCAACCCCGCAUGCAUAGUUUUUAUUCAUACAGCUCAGUGUCUUUGGAGGCCAGAAGAGGGCGUCAUAUCCCUUGGAGCUAGAGUUAAAAGUGGUUGUCAGCCGGCUGAUAUCAGUCCAAUCCCAGCUGAGCCUCUCUCCAGUCCUUCCUCUUUCCGUUAUAACUUGGUUACAUUUAGUUUCUUUUUCUUAUCUACUUUCCCUGGCUAGGAUGUCAGGUACA